Non-coding RNA from Vicia faba (fava bean), 210 nucleotides. The record is from the annotation of a GenBank genome assembly. NCBI's taxonomy places the organism in Eukaryota, Viridiplantae, Streptophyta, Magnoliopsida, Fabales, Fabaceae.
AUGGUCUGCUUUUGUUUUCUGGUGGACCAGACUAAGGAGAUGCAGCGGAGCAAGCCGGCGGCGGGAACUUGCUCACGGUGCGGCGGUGGUGCUAGCGUGGCGGAUAUGAAGACAGCUACAAGAUUUUGCUAUGUUCCGUUUUAUACGAAAUCUUGGAGAGCUAUUGUUUGCACUUUUUGUGGAGCUGUUAUUCGUUCAUACCACCACUAA